This 738-nucleotide ribosomal RNA is filed under the name uncultured Streptococcaceae bacterium. Its description in RNAcentral is "SSU rRNA". It matches the Rfam family "Bacterial small subunit ribosomal RNA", at positions 61 to 781 of the family's 1533-position model. Lineage: Bacteria; Bacillati; Bacillota; Bacilli; Lactobacillales; Streptococcaceae. The record is from RNAcentral.
GCACAGUUUAUACCGUAGCUUGCUACACCAUAGACUGUGAGUUGCGAACGGGUGAGUAACGCGUAGGUAACCUGCCUGGUAGCGGGGGAUAACUAUUGGAAACGAUAGCUAAUACCGCAUAAUAUUAAUUAUUGCAUGAUAAUUGAUUGAAAGGUGCAAUUGCACCACUACCAGAUGGACCUGCGUUGUAUUAGCUAGUAGGUGAGGUAACGGCUCACCUAGGCGACGAUACAUAGCCGACCUGAGAGGGUGAUCGGCCACACUGGGACUGAGACACGGCCCAGACUCCUACGGGAGGCAGCAGUAGGGAAUCUUCGGCAAUGGACGAAAGUCUGACCGAGCAACGCCGCGUGAGUGAAGAAGGUUUUCGGAUCGUAAAGCUCUGUUGUAAGAGAAGAACGGGUGUGAGAGUGGAAAGUUCACACUGUGACGGUAUCUUACCAGAAAGGGACGGCUAACUACGUGCCAGCAGCCGCGGUAAUACGUAGGUCCCGAGCGUUGUCCGGAUUUAUUGGGCGUAAAGCGAGCGCAGGCGGUUAGAUAAGUCUGAAGUUAAAGGCUGUGGCUUAACCAUAGUACGCUUUGGAAACUGUUUAACUUGAGUGCAGAAGGGGAGAGUGGAAUUCCAUGUGUAGCGGUGAAAUGCGUAGAUAUAUGGAGGAACACCGGUGGCGAAAGCGGCUCUCUGGUCUGUAACUGACGCUGAGGCUCGAAAGCGUGGGGAGCGAACAGGAUUAG